GGGAUAUCAAUACAGGAGAGUCAAAGAACAGUAAUGAAAUUCUUUUUUCUAGUAUUUGGGAACAAAGUAUAUAUUUAACAAAUAAAUUCUGGUAUCAUCCCGUUACAUCCCUGAUUCAUACAAAACUAAUAACCAAAAAAAAAAAAAAAACACUGCUCGUGAGAAUGGUUCUAGACAAAUGGGUCCAUAUCCAUUCAGCUUCUCUUAUUAACAUUUCCCCAAAGCAUUAGCAGCUAGAAAAAUCCUGAUAAAGCAAAACUUAAUUGAAUCUAGAAAAGUAAGCAGAGGACCAGUUUAGAGUGUUAAACCAGAAGAAAUAAAAGAAAAUCGAAACGUUAAUCUACUCAUACCCUCUCUAUAACUGAACAUAUACAUUAAACACUAACUUACAUUACCCAGCAUUAACCCAAAAAAACUACUAACACAUAAAUGGAAGAAAUCGAUUGUUUUAAUAAUCUAAUCUAUGUAUAAUUAGAAACAAGAAAAGCAUUAACCCAACCGGCCCUAGAAACCCACAAUGAAACAAACAACAUAAAAUCCUGAAGGGGAAAGAAAGCAUUAGGAACUUAAAUGGCAGCAAAGAACUCACC
Molecule: unclassified non-coding RNA, 590 nt
Filed under: Hevea brasiliensis (rubber tree)
Lineage: Eukaryota; Viridiplantae; Streptophyta; Magnoliopsida; Malpighiales; Euphorbiaceae
Source: RNAcentral